GAUGAAGAACGUAGCGAAAUGCGAUAAGUAAUGUGAAUUGCAGAAUUCAGUGAAUCAUCGAAUCUUUGAACGCACAUUGCGCCCCCUGGUAUUCCGGGGGGCAUGCCUGUCCGAGCGUCAUUACAACCCUCAAGCUCAGCUUGGUAUUGGGCCCCGCCGCUCCGGCGGGCCCUAAAGUCAGUGGCGGUGCCAUCCGGCUCCGAGCGUAGUAAUUCUUCUCGCUCUGGAGGUCCGGUCGUGUGCUCGCCAGCAACCCCCAAUUUUUUUCAGGUUGACCUCGGAUCAGGUAGGGAUACCCGCUGAACUUAAGCAUAUCAAUAAGCGGAGGA
This 329-nucleotide unclassified non-coding RNA is filed under the name soil metagenome. RNAcentral's name for it is "partial contains 5.8S ribosomal RNA, internal transcribed spacer 2, and large subunit ribosomal RNA". The stretch from base 1 to 120 matches the Rfam family "5.8S ribosomal RNA", at positions 35 to 154 of the family's 154-position model. The record is from RNAcentral.